This 519-nucleotide ribosomal RNA is filed under the name uncultured eukaryote. RNAcentral describes it as "bacterial SSU rRNA". It matches the Rfam family "Eukaryotic small subunit ribosomal RNA", at positions 1162 to 1675 of the family's 1831-position model. The record is from RNAcentral.
GGGCACCACCAGGAGUGGAGCCUGCGGCUUAAUUUGACUCAACACGGGAAAACUCACCCGGCCCGGACACUGGGACGAUUGACAGACUGACUAGCUCUUUCUCGAUUCAGUGGGUGGUGGUGCAUGGCCGUUCUUAGUUGGUGGAGCGAUUUGUCUGGUUAAUUCCGAUAACGAACGAGACUCCAGCCUGCUAGUUAGCCGGGCCGGCUCCGUAACUGGAUCCGCGCCCGACACAUCUGACUUCUUAGAGGGACAGACGGCAGCUUUCAAGCAAGCCGUACGAGAUGGAGCAAUAACGGGUCUGUGAUGCCCUUAGAUGUCCGGGGCCGCACGCGCGCUACACUGAAGAGAGCAGCACGCCGCGUGCCCGCCGCUCCGAGAGGAGCGGCUAAUCGUAUGAACCCCCUUCCUGACAGGGAUUGGGCCUUGGUAACGAGUGCCCAUGAACGAGGAAUUCCCAGUAGGUGCGAGUCAUCACCUUGCGCCGAUUACGUCCCUGCCCUUUGUACACACCGCCCG